RNAcentral lists this ribosomal RNA (250 nucleotides) under uncultured bacterium. RNAcentral describes it as "partial 16S ribosomal RNA". It matches the Rfam family "Bacterial small subunit ribosomal RNA", at positions 524 to 776 of the family's 1533-position model. The record is from RNAcentral.
UACGGGGGAUGCAAGCGUUAUCCGGAUUUAUUGGGUUUAAAGGGUGCGUAGGCUGUGCAAGUCUGAAGUGAAAGGCAAGGGCUCAACCUUUGGACUGCUUUGGAAACUGUGCAGCUAGAGUGUCGGAGAGGCAAGUGGAAUUCCUAGUGUAGCGGUGAAAUGCGUAGAUAUUAGGAGGAACACCAGUGGCGAAGGCGGCUUGCUGGACGAUGACUGACGUUGAGGCUCGAAAGCGUGGGGAGCAAACAGG